RNAcentral lists this long non-coding RNA (737 nucleotides) under Homo sapiens (human). RNAcentral's name for it is "PREDICTED lncRNA (TCONS_00265289)". The record is from RNAcentral. Lineage: Eukaryota; Metazoa; Chordata; Mammalia; Primates; Hominidae.
GGGUGAGUCGGCCUCGCCAGUGCGCAUGCGCGAGGCCCGAGCCGCCGCUUUGGUCACAGUGACCGCCACCAUUGCCCGGGGAUGGGUCCUUGAGACUUGGCGAAGUAGGAGCCCUGUGUGAUCGUGCGUCAGAGUCGGGGCUGAGACCAGCCCUGGCCAGGGCAGUUACCAGGACGGUCUCCGGAGGCCGGGAUUCGCGGAGGGUCCACCAGCAGGAAGAAACCCCAGGAGGAAGAAAACUCAGACAGAUCGCCGGGGAGGCAGCGCGGGAUCCCAGCCUCAGGCGUGCGCGGACGGUGUGCGGAGUCUAGCUUUGUACCAGGCUGCAGUGCAGUAGUGCCAUCUCAGCUCACUGCAACCUCUGCCUCCCGGGUUCAAGCGAUUGUCCUGCCUCAGCCUCCCGAGUAGCUGGGAUUACAGCCACAUGCCACCACACCCAGCUAAUGUUUGUAUUUUUAGUAGAUACGGGGUUUCAUCAUGUUGCCCAGGAUGGUCUUAAUUUCCUGACCUCGUGAUCCGCCCAUCUCGGCCUCCCAAAAUGCUGGGAUUACAGGCAUGAGCCACCAGAACCGGACAUGCUUUCCUUAAAAGCUAAAUAUUUUAGGCUUGUGUGCCAUUAGGCUCUGUUACAACUACUUAAUUCUGCUUUUGUAAUUCUAUAGCACCCAUUGAUAAUACAUAAACAAAUGAGCAUGAAUGUGUCUCAGUAAAAAUUUGUUCACAUAAACAGGCAGUCC